AAACUUGUCUAGAUAUCUAUGCAACCGCUUGUUGCAUAUACACACCUUUAUUUAUACCUAACAUCUCACGUGAGGUGGUCCACCGUGAGCUAUUUAUGCUCAUUGAAGCAAAUCAACAAAUAAUAAAGGAAAAGAUUUGUCAGUUUUCUGUUAUAUAUAUUUGUGAACUUGGCCUAGAAACAGGUGAUUGGUGUUGAGGGGAGACGACAACUAUUAUGUAUAGUCUGCAUUAUACACUCACGGUAUUAGUACCAUUGGUAACUGUUGUCCAGGGAUGGCCUGCGUUAGCGCAAGAUCCAUUAAUACCAGUACGAGUACGUCCUUCACCUAACAAUCCAAUACAGACAUUGUGUGAUGGAGAACAAUGCAAGAAGAUUAGAACCUCAAAAAUACUUAGAUAUUACGACGGAUUGUUUCACACAGAGCAAGAAAUCAACGUUAAAUUAAGAGAAUGGGACAAGUUACAUCUUCAAAAGUAUGAAAAAACAUUUUUAUCUGCAGUCUGCCGGCUCCAGUCGUUUAAAUCGAUCAAAAUAUGUCGAAAUCUUCAGAAACCGAAUAGUGAUUAUGAUAUGUGUUGCCCUACGGUUCGUUAUUUCCAUAAAAAUGAAACUUUGGUAAACAUAAAUAAUGAAUUGAAAGUUCUUGUUAAAUUAUCUGAUCCUGAUAGAUUUCAAUUUAUUCCUCAUGCUAAGUGUCUGAGAACAGGGGCAUGUUCUGGUGGAUUUGGGCGAUGCGAAACAGAUACUAUAGAAAUUCUAAUAUUAGUUGUCGAUUUUGGAAGUUCCCUAUAUUGUACAUUUGAAAAGUUUGCAAUCCCAGCUUACUGUUCUUGUAAAUCCAUUUAAUAUAAGUCUCUUGUCGUUAUUUUGGGGAUUUUUACUCUCUUGCCAAUUAUUGAUACAAAAUCGUGUAUAAAAUUCUACAAAAUGUUCGGUAAGAAAGAGGUUUUGUUUUCGAAAGCCGUUUUUUUUUCUUUUUUUUUGUGGAUUUCAAUCACUCUAGAUAGUCAAAACUGUGUAUGGUGGAAACAUUCUGCCAUCGUAGAUUUUAUUGGCCUCCGUGCAACUAUUUAUUAAAUAUAAAUUGGGUUAGUUUUUAUAGUUUUAAAUUGCCCACAUCUCGUUUAUUUCUGGUCGACUCUUCGAUGGGUUUUCUAUUUUGGAUUGUUUGGACAAAUCCCAUUGGGGAUCUCACAGACGUUUUUUUUGAAAUUCGCAAUUUUCUACGCUUAGAUUUAGAAUCAAGAUUCUCACAAAUUUUCUUCGGCGUUUUUGCGACAUUCAAGAUGGCGUAUCUCCGUCACUAUUUGAGAUAUCGGUUUGAAACUUGGUAGGAAUAAGGAACACAUCGAUGCCCUCAGAAUGGCAUAUAUAAAAAGACUUGUGAUGGCUUCCGUAAACUUCCGAAAACUACCGAGGCCUUCCGAUUGUUCCCGACCAUGAACAGUUCUCUCCAUUUUAAAAAUAUAAUUUAUAAAGAGAUCAAUGAAUUCAAAAUGGCAUAUAAAAUUAGGAUGAUUUGUAUACAUGUACUUAAUAACCAUGGGGUUUAUUUUACAAAGUUCUUUUAUACUAAUACAGUAACAUCUAACAGACCUGUUAGCUAUUUUGCGUUCUGGAAGGUAUUCAAUCAGAAUGAACUGCCUCGGAGAAACACUGUACUCGCAAAGAAUGACAAAAAUUGAAGAUUAAGUAGAUGAUUUAAGAAGAUUAUGUCGUCAAAAAUAGCGCAGGCGGAAAAUGGGGGAAUCCAAGUCCAAGCAUCAUACAUUUCAGCUCAUUUCAUUUCAUAGUUAAUUUGUUCACAGAGCCGUCAAACGGUGUCAAUAUCUUGCAUAGCCUCCUCUUCAUUGCCUGGAUGAGACUGAUCUGAGCUUGUGUUAGUCCGUUCCAUUCCUUGUAUAGUGCCUGAUCCAAAUGGAUAUGAUUCUGCACGGGCAAUCCUCUGGCGGAUAUUACAUCAAAGAUUAUCUCAGAUAUGCUGGAUGGAUUCAUACCAUUGCUAGUGUAACAACGGACUCCCAACGCAAAAACCUAACAAUGGCGCGAUCUGGCGUUGUCGUUUAUAAAGAUUGGCCAAAUGAGAAUAGGGUGGUUGUCAAAGUCGAGUAGUACAUCACUGUCCAGGAUCUCUCUCUCUCUCUCUCUCUCUCGCUCUCUCUGGUGUCGCAGGCCAUAGAGUAUUACCUCUGACUGUUACCAGUGGAAGCUUUCGGUCAUGUGAAAACCAAACCAAUAUCAUGACAGAGCCCCUGCCGAAUGGAACAUGGUAUAGGAUGUUCAUGGUCCUCUGUGCAUAUACCAUGUUCCUACGUCGCUAUACCUUUGGUCUGGGGGGUUGGAUGGCUGAAUGGUUAGCGUGCGCGCGCUGUAUCAUACAGUCUGUCAUUGAGUCGACUGGCGUGGUUUCGAAUCCCCGGUUGUACGUGGCAAGGAGUAGGGGCGCCUGUCCAACCUCGUGGGUUUUCUCCGGGUCCUCCGGUUUCCUCCCACAGCUAAAGACCCCUACGCGCAAGCGAAUUAUGGAAAUAAAAUUAAACCAUAUGUUAGUCCCGAAAUGACCUAGUUUGUGUCGAGUGGACGUUAAACCCCAUUUCUCUCUCUCUCUAUACCUUUGGUCUAACAUUCGUCAUGAACAAGAGAAAGUCACUGGCACUAUCAGUGAAUUCUUAUGCUUCACUAUGACACUAUGUUUCAAUGAUUGCGUGCUUGGACCCAUUCUAGUCUUAUGGUGAAUAGACAAGAGACUUAGUCUGGUGGUUAGAUCUAUUUCACAUGCACACCUGCAGAUUUCGUCAUAGGUCACGAAAUGUAAACCAAGACCUAGUCGUAAGCAUUACCUUAACCCUAACCCACAAUCAUCGGCAACAAUCACGUGUCGAAACCCUGUGUACAUAUCGUGACCUGUGACAAAAUCUUCAGGUGUGCAUGUGAAAUAGAUAGAUUUAGCCUCGUCUGAUAGGUAUUAUAGUGUCAUAUCCAACGGAUUUGAGACGACUACGAAAAGUUCUGUAAGAUAUCGGCAGUAACCAUUCCCUUUUCAACAUAGUGCUUGGUGCAUAUACACAUAUCCAUGUAACUAUAAAAUCUUCAAGUUGUAUAUUUAAUAUUAUAAAAAUACCUUCAUUAUUAACAUUAAAGAUGCAUUAUGUAAGAUUUAGAUAAAGAGUUUGUUGAUCUUGCUGUAACAAAAAUUAUGAAAAGUGAAUAUAUUACAAAUUUUCUUUAUACGGAGCGAUGUUAUGAAUGUUUUAAGUUUUAACAAAAAAUAGCGUAAAUAGUUUCAAUUGUCAAGUACCAUUGCAAUAAUAAUUAAAUCUCGAUAUUCCAUUUUGUCGUCGCCCCUGUCCGUCCGUCCACAAUUGUUUGUGAACAGUCUACGGGUCACAAUUUUUAUCCGAUUUCAAUGAAACUUGAAAUAUAGGUUUAUCACCCUAAGAUCUCGGUUCCUUUCGAUAUUGGCAUGUAUCGGACUGUAACUUCAUGGAUUAUGGCCCCUGAAUGUACGAAAAAUCACGUUUUUAGCUUGUGAACACUGUAGAAGUCACAAUUUUUAUCGGAUUUAGUUUAAACUUGAAAUGUAUGCUUAUAACCCAAAGAUCUCGGUUCCUUUCGAUAUUUGCGCAUAUCGAAUUGUAAUUUCCUGAAAAAUCACUUUCUUUUCAGCUUGUUCUCUAUCCAUCUCUCGAAAAUGUGGGCGUAUCCUGGUAUGCUGGUAACAUUAUACGAAGAUGUGGCAUGCAUUGUCUAUUCCGCUUAAUAUCUCAGGCAUCCGAUUUCUAUAUAAUUGAUUAUGGAUUGCCAUGUGAAUAAGUGUCUGAAUUAUUGUUUAUGACAUUUGAAGCCAAAAUAAAGACCCGCAAUGUGCAGAUUUAGAUCUUACAUAAGGUAUCUUUAAUGGUUCGCCAAUCACCUUUAUUUAUCUACCAGAAUAUAUAAAUGUUUUGAUUUUAUAGUAUAUUUGUUAAAAUAUUAAUGUUAUUAUAAUUGAUAAAAUGAGUUCAUUAAUCUAAUAGCCAUUAAAUGCUGUUGAUUCAAAAAGUAAAUUGUAAACACAUCAUAUUUACAUCGUUUCCCAUCAUAUUGCAUAUAUUAUUGAAACACCCAUCAUUUAUAAUAAAAAUUAUAUUUCAGAAGCAAACAGAAUGCAUAGCUGAUAGCUUGAAAUGAUGGCAAUGCUACUACAUUAACAGAAAACAAUUUAUACAGGAAGAAUCACUAAGUACUGGGUUUAUUCUAAAAGCACGACGUUUCAACACGUAUCCUCUUAUUGUUAUCAAGCACAUCGUCAUACUUUUAGCAUAAAAUCAGUGAUUGUUUCCGAUAUUCAUUGUGUUCUGUUAAUGUGUUUCCCAACCGCUUAAUGCCACCCAAAAAUUAGGUUUAUUACAGGUUGAUUUAAAUAAAAUAAACAAUUCAUACUCCCAUACGGGUUUUUUUUCUGGUCUUCUUGAUUUGGGCGGUGCAGGAGACUGUACUUGAUUCAGAAUCUCAUAUUUCUGUGUUAGUGUAUAAAUAUAAUCAUUAAUAUCACUUUGUUGAGAAUUUGUCACAAUUGUCCUAUCAAAGUUUAUAUUGUUGCUGUGUCCAAACAAAACGUAUUUAUUUCUUAAUAAAAGUUAAUAUUUAUGCAAA
Molecule: long non-coding RNA, 4637 nt
Organism: Patella vulgata (common limpet)
Lineage: Eukaryota; Metazoa; Mollusca; Gastropoda; Patellidae
Exons: 5
Source: RefSeq, a predicted model, not a curated record